AUUGAACGCUGGCGGCAUGCUUUACACAUGCAAGUCGAACGGUAACAGGCCGCAAGGUGCUGACGAGUGGCGAACGGGUGAGUAAUGCAUCGGAACGUGCCCAGUCGUGGGGGAUAACGCAGCGAAAGCUGCGCUAAUACCGCAUACGAUCUAUGGAUGAAAGCGGGGGCCCGUAAGGCCUCGCGCGAUUGGAGCGGCCGAUGUCAGAUUAGGUAGUUGGUGGGGUAAAGGCUCACCAAGCCGACGAUCUGUAGCUGGUCUGAGAGGACGACCAGCCAAAGUGGGACUGAGACACGGCCCAGACUCCUACGGGAGGCAGCAGUGGGGAAUUUUUGACAAUGGGCGCAAGCCUGAUCCAGCAAUGCCGCGUGCAGGAAGAAGGCCUUCGGGUUGUAAACUGCUUUUGUACGGAACGAAAAGGCUCUGGUUAAUACCUGGGGCUCAUGACGGUACCGUAAGAGUAAGCACCGGCUAACUACGUGCCAGCCGCCGCAGUAA
This 498-nucleotide ribosomal RNA is filed under the name uncultured bacterium. Its description in RNAcentral is "partial 16S ribosomal RNA". It matches the Rfam family "Bacterial small subunit ribosomal RNA", at positions 30 to 523 of the family's 1533-position model. The record is from RNAcentral.